RNAcentral lists this small RNA (592 nucleotides) under Pan troglodytes (chimpanzee). Its description in RNAcentral is "processed transcript". The record is from RNAcentral. Lineage: Eukaryota; Metazoa; Chordata; Mammalia; Primates; Hominidae.
AAAUUAUUUCCCAUUUCAAAGGAAACAUCAUAGAACAGCGUUGAAGCUCAGGGUUUUGAGAACACAACUUUUGUCUGAGGCGGAGUUUUCUGCUUUUAUUCAUAUUCCGAUCCACUGAACCAAGACAUUGGAGUCUGAAGAGGCGCUGCCCUGCCCCUUCUGCUUUCAGUUUACCAAGUAGAAAGGGCGACUGAAACGAAGCUUGCGUUUGAUGACAUUACGGGUUAGCAGCAAGGGAAGGUACACAGCUAGACGGGCCCGGAUUUGAUCAGCAGUUCCAGCUAUUCUUCAGAUGCUCUGGAUUUUGAGACGGAGCACAAAUUGGACCCUGUAUUUGAUUCUCCACGGAUGUCCCGCCGUAGUUUGCGCCUGGCCACGACAGCAUGCACCCUGGGGGAUGGUGAGGCUGUGGGUGCCAACAGCGGCACCAGCAGCGCUGUCUCCCUGAAGAACCGAGCGGCCAGAACAGCAAAACAGCGCAGAAGCACAAACAAAUCAGCUUUUAGUAUCAACCACGUGUCAAGGCAGGUCACAUCCUCUGGCGUCAGCCAUGGCGGCACUGUCAGCCUGCAGGAUGCUGUGACUCGACGGC